GGCUCCAGGACCGCAUCCACGCUGUCAGCCGCCACUCUGGCCUCUCUGGCCGGGGCUUCAUCCCGCAGAGGAAGCUGCGACACGUCCGUUUCCCUGGAGACGGAGGCGUCACUCAGAGAGAUGAAGGACUCGCUGGUGGAGGCAGAGGAGCGGUACCGGCGAGCGAUGGUGUCCAACGCUCAGCUGCACAACGACAAGACCAUGCUGAUGUACCAGGUGGAGACGCUGCGGGAGGAGCUCAGCGACACCGAGGAGCUGCUGUGGGAGGCCCGACGGCACCGCGACGACACCAGCAAGGAGCUGGAAAGAGAGCGGCACUCUCACAGCGUUCUGAAGCUCCAGUUCAGGGACCUGGAGGACAUGCUGAGGCAGACCGAGGACCUGCUGACGGAAGUGUCGGAUUUGCGCCAGAAGAACAGUGCUCACUGUCAGGAGGUCUCUGACCUGCAGGAGGCGCUGCAGUGGAAGGAGAAGAAGAUCGGGGCGUUAGAACGGCAGAGAGAGGUUUCUGACAUCAUCCGGAUCGAGCGUGACCGGCUCAGAGGCGAGGUUGUUCAUCUCUCUGAAAAUAAUCAACAAGGAACGCCGCGGUCCAGGAGGAGCGGUCUCUGGAGAACGGGCUGGAUUCCCACGUCCUGGAACUGCAGCGUGAGUUUCUGUCCUCCUGACGUUCUCAGAGGUUUGGCAGAUGGAGAUGUUUUUGGCUUGGCUCUGAUUCUUUCAGGAGAGGCCAAUCGCCAAAUCAGUGAGCUGAAGUUCAAACUAGUGAAGGCGGAGCAGGAGGUCACGGCUCUAGAACAGAACGUGAUCCGCCUGGAUGGUCAGGUGACCCGAUAUAAGACGGCAUCUGAGGCUGCAGAGAAGAUAGAAGACAGUCUGAAGGUGGAAAAGAGGAAACUGCAGAGGGAGCUCCGCUCGGCUCUGGACCGCAUAGGUGAGCUGGAGGCCGCCAACAAACACCUGAGCAAGCGCCUGGAGAAAAUGAAGGCCAGUCGGACGGCUCUGCUGGCCCAGCAGUGACCCCGCAGUGGUCCGUGAGCCCCCGCCAGCAACGGAGCCGACCAACCGGCGGAUCCACGGUAGAGGACGGCUUUACCUGCAUCAGCAUCUGUGCCGGAACAAAGACUUUCAGAUGGGCUUCAUCCAGGACUUGAUGGACCACGAAGCAGCUGGAUCCUGGACCCAGGAAUCCUGGACCCAGGAUCCAGCUGCUCAUCCUCCUCAACCAGAACUCUGGAUCUCUGCUGUGCUUCACGUGUGCUUUGGUUUCCUCUCAGGAACAGCGACCUUCAGUCUGUGCUGCAGGAGAAAGCUGCUGGAACACCCUGACCUGGAUUGUAUGCAUGUGCGUGUGCACGUGUGUUUUGGGGGUUCGUUUGGAUCUGUGUCAAAAACCAAAACCUUUUGGUGUUCAAGGUUUUUGAUAAAUUAUUGUUACUCAACGGACUCAGCUGAAGUCAUGUGACUUCUUCACCUGAACACUGACGGUCGAACAGGAUGGUUUAGGUCUGACAGAACAUCACCCUUCUGUGAUCCGCUGCCCCCUACAGGCCAGACCGUCCUUCACUCUGGUCCAGGAACGAACACAUUCAGGCUGGAGCCGCUCCCCCCCCCCUCACACACACACACACUCUCCGCUCAAACGGGUCACAAGGUGACAGAACAAAACCAGAACCUGUGUCGUGAACUGGACCCUUUUCAUCAUCUGAGAUGUCAUUGAUUGUAGAUCAGAUAUAUAGUUAUCAGAGGUCAGCGGAUCCAAAACCAAACCCGGGACAGGUGAGACUGCUGCCCCGCCUACUAUAGCCAAGUGGGCGGGGCAGCAGUCUCACCACAGAACAAGGACAGACCUAUAGUAAAGAACUUUCUCAGAACUGUGUUUAGUUUCCAGCAAGCUGAUCAAUCUCAUUGAUUGGAACUCCAAGGAUCCACCCCGAUGUCAGUUCUUGAUGAUCAGAAGAUGUUCUGCUCCAGGAACCAUGGAGAAUCCAUGAAGGUUCCUGCUGGUUUUCUUUGGAACCUACAAUAAAAAACGCAUGUGUCUCUGAGGAACA
This is a long non-coding RNA of Oryzias sinensis (Chinese medaka), 2054 nucleotides long. Lineage: Eukaryota; Metazoa; Chordata; Actinopteri; Beloniformes; Adrianichthyidae. The record is from Ensembl.